UGGGCGUAAAGCGCACGCAGGCGGUUUGUUAAGUCAGAUGUGAAAUCCCCGGGCUCAACCUGGGAACUGCAUCUGAUACUGGCAAGCUUGAGUCUCGUAGAGGGGGGUAGAAUUCCAGGUGUAGCGGUGAAAUGCGUAGAGAUCUGGAGGAAUACCGGUGGCGAAGGCGGCCCCCUGGACGAAGACUGACGCUCAGGUGCGAAAGCGUGGGGAGCAAACAGGAUUAGAUACCCUGGUAGUCCACGCCGUAAACGAUGUCGACUUGGAGGUUGUGCCCUUGAG
This 282-nucleotide ribosomal RNA is filed under the name Escherichia coli. RNAcentral describes it as "partial 16S ribosomal RNA". It matches the Rfam family "Bacterial small subunit ribosomal RNA", at positions 555 to 836 of the family's 1533-position model. The record is from RNAcentral. Lineage: Bacteria; Pseudomonadati; Pseudomonadota; Gammaproteobacteria; Enterobacterales; Enterobacteriaceae.